UGGAUAUAUUUCUACUCGACCAAAGUUUUGUAAGAAACAAUACAGAAUUUGGGGAUGGGAGGGAGGAUAUUUUGAGAA
Molecule: microRNA precursor, 78 nt
Filed under: Rattus norvegicus (Norway rat)
Lineage: Eukaryota; Metazoa; Chordata; Mammalia; Rodentia; Muridae
Description: mir-1892 microRNA precursor family
Rfam family: mir-1892 microRNA precursor family
Source: Rfam by way of RNAcentral